Stylophora pistillata is the source of this 371-nucleotide long non-coding RNA. Lineage: Eukaryota; Metazoa; Cnidaria; Anthozoa; Scleractinia; Pocilloporidae. The record is from RefSeq and is a predicted model, not a curated record.
CCAUCACAGUCGAAAGUAUUACAAUGAUAGAGGACUUCUCUUGUGGAAUUUUCCUGUGACUAUUUUGUUCCCGACACACAGUGAUGGAUCGUUCCUUUGCCACAUGGAGGAAAGGGUGAUGUUCCCGCUGGGCAGGUUUUACAAUUCACGCAGUGUGCACUGCCUUUUUCUUGGGUUACAACAAGGACCAUGCUGAUGUAAAUCAACAAGAUAGACACUACGUUUCCACACAGCGUGAGGAACAUUAAGUUCAAACAUGUUGGUGAGCUAGAGGUCGUUCGUCGUCUGCCAAACAUCUUUUUACAAAUAACCAGUGAGAGUCAUUAUUACACGACUCGGGCAGUCAGAAGGCCAAUAACUAAAAUCAACCA